UGGUCCCGUGGCAGACGGGUGCGUAACGCGUGGGAACUUGCCUGGUAGUAGGGAAUAACCAGUGGAAACAUUGGGCAACACCCUAUACGCCCUGAGGGGGAAAAUUUAUUGCUAUCAGAUAGGCCCGCGUUAGAUUAGCUAGUUGGUGAGGUAAUGGCCUACCAAGGCGACGAUCUAUAGCUGGUCUGAGAGGAUGAUCAGCCACACUGGAACUGAGACACGGUCCAGACUCCUACGGGAGGCAGCAGUGAGGAAUAUUGGACAAUGGGCGAAAGCCUGAUCCAGCCAUACCGCAUGAGUGACGAAGGCCCUUGGGUUGUAAAGCUCUUUUA
This 332-nucleotide ribosomal RNA is filed under the name Neorickettsia risticii (Potomac horse fever agent). RNAcentral describes it as "bacterial SSU rRNA". It matches the Rfam family "Bacterial small subunit ribosomal RNA", at positions 88 to 438 of the family's 1533-position model. The record is from RNAcentral. Lineage: Bacteria; Pseudomonadati; Pseudomonadota; Alphaproteobacteria; Rickettsiales; Anaplasmataceae.